GAUGAACGCUUUUGGGAGGCCUAACACAUGCAAGCCGAGCGGUAUUGUUUCUUCGGAAAUGAGAGAGCGGCGUACGGGUGCGGAACACGUGUGCAACCUGCCUUUAUCUGGGGGAUAGCCUUUCGAAAGGAAGAUUAAUACUCCAUAAUAUAUUGAACGGCAUCGUUUAAUAUUGAAAGCUCCGGCGGAUAGAGAUGGGCACGCGCAAGAUUAGCUAGUUGGUGAGGUAACGGCUCACCAAGGCGAUGAUCUUUAGGGGGCCUGAGAGGGUGAUCCCCCACACUGGUACUGAGACACGGACCAGACUCCUACGGGAGGCAGCAGUGAGGAAUAUUGGUCAAUGGGUGCAAGCCUGAACCAGCCAUCCCGCGUGAAGGACGACUGCCCUAUGGGUUGUAAACUUCUUUUGUAUAGGGAUAAACCUACCCUCGUGAGGGUAGCUGAAGGUACUAUACGAAUAAGCACCGGCUAACUCCGUGCCAGCAGCCGCGGUAAUACGGAGGGUGCAAGCGUUAUCCGGAUUUAUUGGGUUUAAAGGGUCCGUAGGCGGACUUAUAAGUCAGUGGUGAAAGCCUGUCGCUUAACGAUAGAACUGCCAUUGAUACUGUAAGUCUUGAGUAUAUUUGAGGUAGCUGGAAUAAGUAGUGUAGCGGUGAAAUGCAUAGAUAUUACUUAGAACACCAAUUGCGAAGGCAGGUUACCAAGAUAUAACUGACGCUGAGGGACGAAAGCGUGGGGAGCGAACAGGAUUAGAUACCCUGGUAGUCCACGCCGUAAACGAUGCUAACUCGUUUUUGGGCUUUAGGGUUCAGAGACCAAGCGAAAGUGAUAAGUUAGCCACCUGGGGAGUACGCUCGCAAGAGUGAGACUCAAAGGAAUUGACGGGGGCCCGCACAAGCGGUGGAUUAUGUGGUUUAAUUCGAUGAUACGCGAGGAACCUUACCAAGACUUAAAUGGGAAUUGACAGCUUUAGAAAUAGAGCUUUCUUCGGACAAUUUUCAAGGUGCUGCAUGGUUGUCGUCAGCUCGUGCCGUGAGGUGUUAGGUUAAGUCCUGCAACGAGCGCAACCCCUGUCACUAGUUGCCAUCAUUCAGUUGGGGACUCUAGUGAGACUGCCUACGCAAGUAGAGAGGAAGGUGGGGAUGACGUCAAAUCAUCACGGCCCUUACGUCUUGGGCCACACACGUAAUACAAUGGCCGGUACAGAGGGCAGCUACACAGCGAUGUGAUGCAAAUCUCGAAAGCCGGUCUCAGUUCGGAUUGGAGUCUGCAACUCGACUCUAUGAAGCUGGAAUCGCUAGUAAUCGCGCAUCAGCCAUGGCGCGGUGAAUACGUUCCCGGGCCU
RNAcentral lists this ribosomal RNA (1345 nucleotides) under uncultured bacterium. RNAcentral's name for it is "bacterial SSU rRNA". It matches the Rfam family "Bacterial small subunit ribosomal RNA", at positions 28 to 1381 of the family's 1533-position model. The record is from RNAcentral.